GACGAACGCUGGCGGCGUGCCUAAUACAUGCAAGUCGAGCGGAAGUUGGAGAGCUUGCUCUUCAACUUUAGCGGCGGACGGGUGAGUAACACGUGGGCAACCUGCCCUGCAGAUCGGGAUAACUCCGGGAAACCGGUGCUAAUACCGAAUAGUUUUCGCCACCUCCUGGUGGCGUACGGAAAGACGGUUUCGGCUGUCACUGCAGGAUGGGCCCGCGGCGCAUUAGCUAGUUGGUGGGGUAACGGCCCACCAAGGCAACGAUGCGUAGCCGACCUGGGAGAGUGAUCGGCCAGACGGGGACUGAGACACGGCCCAGACGCCUACGGGAGGCAGCAGUAGGGAAUCUUGCGCAAUGGACGAAAGUCUGACGGAGCAACGCCGCGUGAGUGACGAAGGUUUUCGGAUCGUAAAACUCUGUUGUGAGGGAAGAACAAGUACCAAUUAACUACUGGUACCUUGACGGUACCUCACCAGAAAGCCACGGCUAACUACGUGCCAGCAGCCGCAGUAA
Molecule: ribosomal RNA, 511 nt
Filed under: uncultured bacterium
Lineage: Bacteria
Description: partial 16S ribosomal RNA
Rfam family: Bacterial small subunit ribosomal RNA
Source: RNAcentral